GAUAUUUACUCUGAACGUAAAUUCAG
RNAcentral lists this small RNA (26 nucleotides) under Bombyx mori (domestic silkworm). RNAcentral's name for it is "ovarian small RNA-5201". The record is from RNAcentral. Lineage: Eukaryota; Metazoa; Arthropoda; Insecta; Lepidoptera; Bombycidae.